RNAcentral lists this ribosomal RNA (794 nucleotides) under Bacillus sp. HPB28. Its description in RNAcentral is "bacterial SSU rRNA". It matches the Rfam family "Bacterial small subunit ribosomal RNA", at positions 51 to 825 of the family's 1533-position model. The record is from RNAcentral. Lineage: Bacteria; Bacillati; Bacillota; Bacilli; Caryophanales; Bacillaceae.
AUACAUGCAAGUCGAGCGGAGAUUUGGGAGCUUGCUCCCAAAUCUUAGCGGCGGACGGGUGAGUAACACGUGGGCAACCUGCCCUGCAGACUGGGAUAACUCCGGGAAACCGGAGCUAAUACCGGGUAAUACAUCGCACCGCAUGGUGCAAUGUUGAAAGUUGGCUUUCGAGCUAACACUGCAGGAUGGGCCCGCGGCGCAUUAGCUAGUUGGUAAGGUAAUGGCUUACCAAGGCGACCAUGCGUAGCCGACCUGAGAGGGUGAUCGGCCACACUGGGACUGAAACACGGCCCAGACUCCUACGGGAGGCAGCAGUAGGGAAUCUUCCGCAAUGGACGAAAGUCUGACGGAACAACGCCGCGUGAGUGACGAAGGCCUUCGGGUCGUAAAGCUCUGUUGUUAGGGAAGAACAAGUACCGUUCGAAUAGGGCGGUACCUUGACGGUACCUAACCAGAAAGCCACGGCUAACUACGUGCCAGCAGCCGCGGUAAUACGUAGGUGGCAAGCGUUGUCCGGAAUUAUUGGGCGUAAAGCGCGCGCAGGCGGUCUUUUAAGUCUGAUGUGAAAGCCCACGGCUCAACCGUGGAGGGUCAUUGGAAACUGGAGGACUUGAGUGCAGAAGAGGAGAGUGGAAUUCCACGUGUAGCGGUGAAAUGCGUAGAUAUGUGGAGGAACACCAGUGGCGAAGGCGGCUCUCUGGUCUGUAACUGACGCUGAGGCGCGAAAGCGUGGGGAGCAAACAGGAUUAGAUACCCUGGUAGUCCACGCCGUAAACGAUGAGUGCUAGUGUUGG